Molecule: ribosomal RNA, 693 nt
Filed under: uncultured bacterium
Lineage: Bacteria
Description: bacterial SSU rRNA
Rfam family: Bacterial small subunit ribosomal RNA
Source: RNAcentral
CUGACGAGUGGCGGACGGGUGAGUAAUGCGUAGGAAUCUGUCUUUUAGUGGGGGACAACCCAGGGAAACUUGGGCUAAUACCGCAUGAGCCCUGAGGGGGAAAGCGGGGGAUCUUCGAACCUCGCGCUAAGAGAAGAGCCUACGUCUGAUUAGCUAGUUGGUAGGGUAAAGGCCUACCAAGGCGACGAUCAGUAGCUGGUCUGAGAGGACGACCAGCCACACUGGGACUGAGACACGGCCCAGACUCCUACGGGAGGCAGCAGUGGGGAAUUUUUCGCAAUGGGGGCAACCCUGACGAAGCAAUGCCGCGUGGAUGAAGAAGGCCUUCGGGUUGUAAAGUCCUUUCGUGGGGGACGAAAGGGUAGUUCUUAAUACGAGCUGCUGUUGACGUGAACCCAAGAAGAAGCACCGGCUAACUCCGUGCCAGCAGCCGCGGUAAUACGGGGGGUGCAAGCGUUAAUCGGAAUCACUGGGCGUAAAGGGUGCGUAGGCGGUACGUUAGGUCUGUCGUGAAAUCCCCGGGCUCAACCUGGGAAUGGCGGUAGAAACCGGCGAACUAGAGUAUGGGAGAGGGUGGUGGAAUUCCAGGUGUAGCGGUGAAAUGCGUAGAGAUCUGGAGGAACAUCAGUGGCGAAGGCGGCCACCUGGCCCAAUACUGACGCUGAGGCACGAAAGCGUGGGGAGCAAACAGGA